GGGCCUAUGGCCGUUAUUAAUUAGGAGCAACAUGUAUUGUUUUUAGAGAUUGUUGCUGCAGGAACUAGCUGCAGCCUUGCAAUUGAGAUUUUAGGCACCCAGAACUGAUGAAUUAAAAAUUUGUGAACUGCCUUGGACAUUCAUAAUUCUUUGCUUAAACCUUCAAUAGAAUAAAGACAAUGCUAAACCAUGUAAUUUUAUUUCUCUGAGGCCAAGGAGGUUCCACUUCAUUGAUAGACAUAAGUGAAUAUCAGAAUGUAAUGUCUUAAUUGAUCUUGAAUGCUUUGAGCAUCUGUCAAGCAGUUACAAUAUGUAGCUUUUGUUACAGUAAGCAAUUUAGUUCCUUAAAGGCUCUAGUAGUUUUUUCUAUUUAGUUCCACUACUAGUGAAAUAAAAUGAAAUACUUUGCUUAGAGGUAGAGUAAGAUGAGAGGGCUUUUCUUAAAAUUAUAGUAAGUUAGUUAUCUUCUAUUCAUUAUGUUUGUAAUUAUGUAAUGUGUGAUGACAGUUCCAUCAUAUGACCCCUAGUUCCUCCCAUUCAUUCCUUUGAGGAAGAAGUGAUUGUUACACAGCUUCAGAAAGUGAAAGGACUUUUCUUUGGAUAAAACCUUCUCAGCUGUGAAAAGUGGAAGGAAAAGAGGUUAUUAAGUUUCCCCACUAAUUUGGAACUUGCUAAAAAGCACAAUUUAUAAUCCACACAAAUUGGUGAUCUCUUCCCACUUCUCAAGAAAGACUUUAUAGCAGAGGCUGUAAUGAGGUCUCAUAAUAACUUCUUACUCUUGUACAUGAUGAAAUAUUAUAAAUAAAUUACAAUUGACUAAAUAAAGUAUAUGCUUUUGUGGCAUCCUUGCUUUUUAUUGUUCACAUACUUGGUAAUUCCUCAUUCACAGUCUUUGUCAGUAGUGUUGACUCUUUCUCCCAUACUUUUGUUAAAAAAUUGCUAUAAAUGAAUGUUAUAUUGUACCUUGAAUACUUUGCAGCUGAAAAUGUGUUACUAAAACUUAAAAGAAAAUGACUUUGUAUGUCAACAUGAGAGCAAUAGCACAGGUUGUUCUGGGUUUAAACUAAUUGAAAAGUUUAAUAAAAAAUUCUGCUAGAACUAACAAAAACUUUUAAUGGUCUUUUUAUUUUAC
This is a long non-coding RNA of Gopherus evgoodei (Goodes thornscrub tortoise), 1132 nucleotides long. RefSeq lists it as uncharacterized. NCBI's taxonomy places the organism in Eukaryota, Metazoa, Chordata, Testudines, Testudinidae. The transcript is spliced from 2 exons. The record is from RefSeq and is a predicted model, not a curated record.